RNAcentral lists this ribosomal RNA (443 nucleotides) under uncultured bacterium. Its description in RNAcentral is "bacterial SSU rRNA". It matches the Rfam family "Bacterial small subunit ribosomal RNA", at positions 338 to 795 of the family's 1533-position model. The record is from RNAcentral.
CCUACGGGGGGCUGCAGUGGGGAAUAUUACACAAUGGGGGAAACCCUGAUGCAGCGACGCCGCGUGAAGGAAGAAUGUCUUCGGAUCGUAAAAUUCUAUCAGCAGGGAAGAAGGAAGUGACGGUACCUGACUAAGAAGCACCGGCUAACUACGUGCCAGCAGCCGCGGUAAUACGUAUGGGGCAAGCGUUAUACGGAAUCACUGGGUGUUAAGGGUGCGUAGGCGGUAGGGCAAGUCAGAUGGGAAAGUCCGGAGCUUAACUCCGGGAUUGCAUUUGAAACUGUCUUACUAGAGUGCAGGAGAGGAAAGCGGAAUUCCUAGUGGAGCGGUGAAAUGCGUAGAUAUUAGGAAGAACACCAGUGGCGAAGGCGGCUUUCUGGACUGUAACUGACGCUGAGGCACGAAAGCGUGGAGAGCGAACAGGAUUAGAUACCCUAGUAGUC